Molecule: long non-coding RNA, 219 nt
Filed under: Elaeis guineensis (African oil palm)
Lineage: Eukaryota; Viridiplantae; Streptophyta; Magnoliopsida; Arecales; Arecaceae
Description: long non-coding RNA (EGUI_LNC071341)
Source: RNAcentral
GCAGGACCUGCAAGAAAAGUCCUUGACCGGAGUUGGCUCUAGUGGAGAUCUUCCGACACUCAAGUCAGAUCAUUGGUACAGAUGAGAAGGAGUGAGCAUGUUGGAAGAAAGAUUUUUGUAUACCUUGGGGAUCUCUUGUAAGCCUUUAUUUAUAAGCAGAGGCUGAAGAGCCAUGAGAAGAAAGAAGAAACAGAUAAUUAACCUUGACUUAUUGGGUGA